GGAGACUCAGCAACACCUCACAUGCACUAAACCCCAAAGUACCACUGAACUCAAGGUAACUGCUCAAACACACCGAUGCUGUCAGAUCCAGGCCCCAUACAAGCUACUCAGCAUUCAGCUGUUCUCCAGCCACUCUUUGUUGCACACAGUCAUCCAGCUCAUGGAGUGGCAGAGGCCUUCCUGACUUGCAUGCAAAGCUGCAGGACCAUUCUUGUCAUUAUUUCCCCAAACAGAACACUCAUCAUUGGCCAGAAACACAGCACAGCAUCCUUCAACUUGAGAAGAGCUGAGCAAUUCAAACCAGCUUGUUCCAAAGCAAGACAAUUCUGGCAGUCUCAGCUACUGCUGUGAGUCUAGCAACACAUGGCACAUCAAUCCUUUACAGCUUCCCCAGGGUCUCUACCGAUCCCAAUCCACAGCAGCCUAAGGCUUGCUCUAACACCACCUCAGCUUGGUGAAAACCUUCACCUGCCAGAGUUUGGUCUAUGCUGGAAAACGCGUGCGGAUGCCACACAAUCUCAUCACAGGCAUGGACAAUCUGGCAAAAAUGUAGCUGGAAGUACCUACAGGAGACAGGUAGUACCUCUCCAGACAAAGGCCCCAAGGAAGCCCCCAUGUUACUUUAUUAAAAAAGCUUCUGUAUUUUUUCAUGAGACAAGAAAAUGGGGCAUGGGCCAACUCACCUGGUUGGAAUUAUGCCAUAACACUCUAAAGUAAUGGGUGAACUGGCAGCACAAGAGCUUAAAACAGAAUAAUAGCUUUUAAAAGCUUUUCAAAACAAAUUCUUUGUUUUGUGUUUAUAAAAUAUCCCUUGUUUGGAAGAAAAAUCAACACUCUCAAGGAAAGAACAGCUGCUCUACUGAAAACAGGCCAAUUAAUAUUUUGAAGUUUUACAACUCUUUAGGUCAGAGUCAUUCUCUGAAACUCCAAGGGGAGAUUUCAAAGAUUAAUUACAUAAACUCUGCUUCUUGCUCUCACAGUUUGCAGUUUUUUGCACACUCAGGGUUAGGUAACCAAACCCAAUUCAUCCACUCAAAAGCAACCUAAAGGAUCCCCCACAAGAAACUGGGAAUUACCUGCCUUAAUGCAAUUCGGAUCACUCACCUCAAGUAUUGACAUACAACACCAUGGGCUGCAAGAGGCGGCUGACCACUUUGUUGGGGUGGCCAGACAUCCUCAGGGAGGGAGAACUUUUGUGCCAGGCUUCAACCCUUGCAGAAACUCUGGAGAAAGGGAUUUCUUUACCUACCACUCCUAAUGGCAGUCCUUCCUGAUGGAUAUACACUUAACUUGUAUAGUGUACAACCAUAAUUAAGUGUAAAGUGCAGGGUCUGGAGGAAGCCAGACAAUUAAAUGGUGAAAGGCUGCAGAAAUGUAAAGAUACUUUAAAUUUCUUCUAAAAUUUUGCAUAAAAUCUUAUCUGGUCAAUAAGUUGCUUUAUUUGUCAUGUAUUAACAAGGGUGCUUUCACCUACAUUUAAUGUAAGGGAAUGAAUGGAGCCAAGGAAGAAGACUAAGCAGUUAAAGAGGGUUUCUUGCUACCUGAAACAUCAGAAACCAAUUUUACUUCCAUUUGAUUUGACAGAACUUUCAUCUUCUGAAACGAAAAAGAUGUCAUACUUUCAUUCCUCAGCAAAGAAUCUUUUCCUAAAGGACAAGGAUAACUACACCCCCUACAAUUCCUCCUAACUGUCUAUUGCUCCAGAAACUUGUAUCAUAAAUUCAUGGUGGAGUCAAAGGACAGCAGGAGAGCUCAGCUGACCACAAAGAGCAGGCAGAGGAAUGAGCAGGAUAAAACACACAAGCCCACAGACAAUUUUCAAAAGCUGAGAGCACUCACACGGGCAUCAAGCAGAUUACAUACACCUCACCUGCAACAUCUUACAUAAACCUCAGCUGUAGUGAUGCAUGUUUGUUUAUUGUCCAAGUCUUCCGGAGCUAACAGCAGAGUUGGAACCCAGCUACACCAACCCCACAUGGUAACAAGAGAGCGACUGAAAAGGUUUUAAUUGAAAGGUCCAGCUAUCUAUGCUCAUAAGACAUGGAAAAUUAUUUUAGUACUACUGCUGCAUUUUAACCAAAAAGAAACUUUACAUCAAGAUUAGUGGCCAGCUUCAUGCUGCACUUUUCAUCAGCCUCGCACACGGUUUACAGCAAGGAAAGCCCACAGCACACUUUUAAGAGAAAUCCCUGGGAGUUUCACAGGGGCUCCAUUUCUGUUUUACUGUUGUUUUUAGGUACUUCACACUCUAGAGCUUCCAGAGCUUUUCUAUUUAAACAGUAAAAACAUCACGAACUCCCCUGCCUGACCAUCAGUUUUAGGCAAACAAACAAUUCUAAAGCAGAGCACUUAAUGAAUUCAGAGCAUCAGUUGCAGGUCAUGAAUAACCAAGCUCAAAGUAUGCAAAUCUAGUGAUUAAAAUUCCUGCCUAGGAUAUGUUACCGAAGUGAAAACAUGUUUUAUCUUGCACCACAGUAAUUUUUUAUUCCUCGCCAAGACUUAAAAAUCCUUUUUUUUGUUACUGAAGCAUAAAUGAGAACUGUUUAAACCCCAAACUAUUUUUACAGUCAGCAAUACACUCAUUCAAACCUUACAUGCAUGUCUAAGACCUGACUCAAAUACACACUUGCCUAUACUAUCUUCCUCAGAACCUUACAUUGACAACAAGAGUUUACAAACCAGAAGUUUACAACAGCUUCCUCACAUACAACCAACCGAAUAUAAUUUGCUUACUGAAAAAGAGAAGCUGUAAUGCUUUACUGAGUUAUCCCAAUCAGCAAUACAAAGAGCUUGAUCCAGGUUUUAAAUGCCCCUUCCAAAAAAAAAAAAAAAAAGUGUUUGGGGCACUGCAACGCAAUACUUUGAACAACCCACACCUCCUUCCCUGGGACAGAAGCACAGAUGAAUACAAGACAAAGACAAUUACAGAUGGCCAGACCAAGCAAGCCAUUUCUGAUCACCCAGUUGCCAUCUAACAUGGCCUCUUCGCCAGAGCUUUUCUUCCUCAUGCUGCUGUCAAGAAGGGAUCUCUGGCUGCCCUGGUCACAGAAUCCACACAGAAAGGACACCAGGAAUCCUGAGCAUGAGGAUGUACUUUGUUAAGCACAGGUUUCCAGUGUUGGCUGUUAUGUUCACAGCUACCUGGCCCUGUGACUGUCUCCUACUGCUGUCACCAGCUGCAAGUUCUAUCUUGCAGACAGAACUUACAGAUACACAAAUGAAGUCUAGAUCACUAAAACAGACCUUUAAAACACAGGCAAGCAUUAUGUCGCUGCAGUAUAUACAUUUUAUAAGAUUUCCAAGGAGAAUGAAAAAUAAAUAUCAACACCAACCCUGGAAGUAGUUUUAGCUGCUGCCCCAGCUACAGCCAGGGGCAUUACGCUGUAAUGAGAGCUGUGAGACAGCACUGGAGAUCGUGAGGCAGAUGCCCAGAAGGGUCUGCGACUUCUCGACUAAGCGCGCCUGUGCAGGGCACAUAGCUGAAGCUCAAUCCCUCACCAUGCCCGCACCCCGCUGCGGUUCAGGGCUCCUGUGGCACGGCACACCUCUCCCAGGCCGUAGCCCCUUGGGGCUCCUUCCACAGACCCGGGCGUAGCCAGGCUGCACCGAGCGGAGGGCCGCGGCUGGAGCCGGGACGGGCAGGGCGGGGCUGGAGCCGGGCAGGGCCAAGGGAGUACGGGCGGGCCCCGCCAUGGCCGCGGGAACGCUUCCUGCGCUGCUCCGAGGGUCCCGUCCGUCCGCCGCCCGGAAAGGGGGGAAGGGUGGGCAGGAGAAGCGGCGGCCAUGCCCACCGUCUCAACAGACCAGGCCCACAAAGCUAAACGCCCGCCAGCAGCCACCAGGAGCCACCGGGAAGAGGCCGCCCUUCCCCCCGGCAGACGGCUGCCGGGGCGGCCCCGCACAGCGAGCCCGGCAGGGCGGCUCCCGCACAGCAGGCGCUCCCACGGAGAUGAAUUUCGAUGAAAUCCCUGCCCUGUCAAGCAUAAAGGCACCAGGUGGUAGAGGCUGAGCCAAGUGGAUGAGAUCAAGAAGACCGAAAAAACCCUGGAGUCUCCCACAGGGCACCAUCUCAUCGUUCCUCCAGAAACUCAUCCUUGCCACAAGCAUCACAGGAGGCUCCACCUCAACCAGCUUCAUCCUUGUCUGUGUUUGAGAUUAUGUGUUGCUUUGGCUCUAGAGCACCUUCCAGUAUUUCUGAUGAUGCCUCAGUUCUUUGGCUUUAAUUAGAUCCCAACAAUACAUAUACUGGGGGAAUGGUUCCCCCUUUCCAUCAACCCCUCUCUGUACCAGCCUCAUUCCCCUCUUCCCACAGUGCCAAGAACACUGAGCAUGACUAUGGGCUCAUCACCUCCA
This is a long non-coding RNA of Serinus canaria (Common canary), 4353 nucleotides long. RefSeq lists it as uncharacterized. The transcript has 2 exons. The record is from RefSeq and is a predicted model, not a curated record. NCBI's taxonomy places the organism in Eukaryota, Metazoa, Chordata, Aves, Passeriformes, Fringillidae.